Molecule: ribosomal RNA, 390 nt
Filed under: uncultured eukaryote
Lineage: Eukaryota
Description: SSU rRNA
Rfam family: Eukaryotic small subunit ribosomal RNA
Source: RNAcentral
CCAGCAGCCGCGGUAAUUCCAGCUCCGGUAGCGUGUAUUAAAGUUGUUGCAGUUAAAAAGCUCGUAGUUGAAGUAUUGGUAGGGCUGACCUGAUCUGGCGGUGAAUGCCGCUAGUUUUUCAGUGUCGUGCCUGGUCAUCCUUUCCGUUUUCUUUUAGAAGAUGGGAUCAUUUACUGUAAAAAAAUUAGAGUGUUUCAAGCAAGUUGUAUUGACUGGAAUAUAGUAGUAUGGAAUAAUAAGAUAGGACUUUGAUACUAUUUUGUUGGUUUGUAUAUCAAGGUAAUGAUUAACAGGGACAGUUGGGGGUAUUCGUAUUUGGUUGUCAGAGGUGAAAUUCUUGGAUUUACAAAAGACGAACAACUGCGAAAGCAUUUACCAAGGAUGUUUUCA